GCCGCCCUAGCUCAGCCUGGCAGAGCACCGGACUGUUAAUCCGUUGGUCGACAGUUCAAAUCUGUCGGGCGGCGCCA
This 77-nucleotide transfer RNA is filed under the name Nitrososphaerota archaeon. Its description in RNAcentral is "Thaumarchaeota archaeon (sponge metagenome) tRNA-Asn". It matches the Rfam family "tRNA". Rfam says of the family: Transfer RNA (tRNA) molecules are approximately 80 nucleotides in length. Their secondary structure includes four short double-helical elements and three loops (D, anti-codon, and T loops). Lineage: Archaea; Thermoproteati; Nitrososphaerota. RNAcentral also lists the same sequence under 1 other name. The record is from RNAcentral.